RNAcentral lists this ribosomal RNA (2037 nucleotides) under Triticum aestivum (bread wheat). RNAcentral describes it as "partial small subunit ribosomal RNA". Lineage: Eukaryota; Viridiplantae; Streptophyta; Magnoliopsida; Poales; Poaceae. The record is from RNAcentral.
AUGUGCAACGCUGGCCUCGAGUUCCCCAUCACCCGCAUCGGGCGCUACCUCAAGAAUGGCCAUUACACGCAGCGCGUCGACUCUGGCGCCCCCGUCUACCUCGCGACCGUCCUCGAGUACCUCACCACCGAGCUGCUGGAGCUCACCGGCAAUGCACGCGCUCAUAAAAGCACCAGCUCCUCGGGGAUAGUACUCCCAGUAACCCCAAGUACAUUAUGGCGUCACGCAUGGGGGCACUCAAGGUUGUCAAUCUCCGUGAUGAUGACGGACAACCUCUUCUUCCCGGACACCACCGAUCUGCUGGAGCUCGCCGGCAACGCACACGCUGCCGUGCCGUGCCGGCACGCGUGUGUGCAAGGGAGCGUGAUGUGCAACGCUGGCCUCGAGUUCCCAAUCGCCCGCAUCGGGCGCUACCUCAAGAAGGGCCACUACGCGCAGCGCGUCGGCUCCGGCGCCCCCAUCUACCUCGCGACCAUCCUCGAGUACCUCACCACCAAGCUGCUUGAGCUCACCGGCAACGCACGCGCUCAUAAAAGCACCAGCUAUGGCGUCACACAUGGGGGGCACUCAAGGUUGUCGAUCUCCGUGAUGAUGACGGACAACCUCUUCUUCCCGGACACCACCGAUCUGCUGGAGCUCGCCGGCAACGCACACGCUGGUGUGGCCCUGGGUGGCGCACGUCCAUCGGCGACCCCACCAACAUAUGUAUUUCAUAAAAACAUAUUCUCCGAUCUGCUGGAGCUCGCCGGCAACGCACACGCUGGUGUGGCCCUGGCUGGCGCUCUUCCAUCGGCGACCCCACCAACAUAUAGCAACCCUAGCCUCACCAAACCCUGUCCAAAACCUGGCAACUCGCCUUGGCCCACCAGCCAUAGACACACACUCACCUCCCAAACCCCGUCUUCCUCACCAGACGCGUGUUCGCAGUCGCCUCAAGCACUUAUGGAAGUUCUGGCCGCCGCCGCCGGCUCCUACUCGAGCAGUCAAAUCGCAUUUGCUGCUAAGGCUGCCCGAAACCCUAUGCACGCGUAUACAUCCUACCUAUAUCUUCAAUGGUUCAGACUCGGAAUCAAAGCAAGGCUGCCCGGAGAGAGAAACCAGAUCCAAGCGACGCCCGGCGAAGGCUGGCCGGAGGGAUUGGGUAGGCGCUGCGACCAGCGAAGGCCAGGAGAUUCAAACGACCCCGGCCAGAUACCGGUGGACCGAGCGCUGGUCGCCGCCUCGCCUGACUGCUCGGCUGCUGCCUCUCGGACGAGGGGCACAACUCCACUUGUUUACAAGCCGCCGCUGCCGCCGCCCUCGGCGGCAAAUUUAAAUGUCCUUGACACAGCUGAUUUUUUGCAGAUUCAGCCAAGUAGUGUGAGCUCAUCCAGUUCUUUCACUCAGUUGAAGAUGCCCUUGAAGAAGAGAGUUCGAACAGAUGGGAAUCAUGAGCCACAUUUGGAAGAUUCAGGAAGUCUUGGUGUUCUGUACCCGUCGGGUACUGACGUGGUGUUGCAAAAGGCAUAUGCCACGGGGUGGCUAAGAUCGGUGUUGGUGCAGCGCUCUGCAGAUUCGGCACCCGCAGGGAUUGCGCCGGAGCGCAGACACGUGAAGUACCCAGGUUUAGGGCCCUCCCGGAGGAGCCGAGGUGGCCGGCGGCGCCAAGCUCUGGGAAGGUGUGAAGAUGAGGAGGGAGGGAGGGGGUGCAGCGAGACCCGUGCACAGAAGAGUGAGGGGAAGCAGCGGUUUCUACUGGCAUAUUCUAGAUGUUGCUUGCUGCACGUAGUGCAGCCAUUCUCAAGCACGGCCAGGUCCCGCCGCGUGGCACAAGGGCCCGUCCCGCCGUCCCAUCCUUGUUGCACCACCUUCCUUCCCCUCCAAGGCUUGAAGUGGUACUACUACAGUAGUACUACUGCUCUGCUCGCGCCCAUGUUUCCAAACUCUUCCAUCACCGUCCAAAACAGCUUCGGCAGGGAGUGGAGAGCAUGCCCCGCCGCCAUCUCCCUUUGGGUCCUCCGCGUCACGCGAGCGAAGGACCUAAACCCUAAACCCUAA